RNAcentral lists this long non-coding RNA (218 nucleotides) under Elaeis guineensis (African oil palm). Its description in RNAcentral is "long non-coding RNA (EGUI_LNC034008)". The record is from RNAcentral. Lineage: Eukaryota; Viridiplantae; Streptophyta; Magnoliopsida; Arecales; Arecaceae.
UAGCCAUGAUAUUUAUUAGAUCUAGUAUAGUUAGUCUUUUAUGUCUAGAUUCUAGCUUAUGGCCUUUGCAAUUAUUGGCUGAUUGACUCAUGGAAAGUUACAUUUUUUUUUGUUAUCCAUGACUUUUAUAUAGUCUAUGUAUUUUGACUUGACUCAUAUGUAUUGUGACACAUAUGUCAUAUUUUGGAUAUAUAUAUAUAUAUAUGCUUUUAUCUUAU